AUUGAACGCUGGCGGAAUGCUUUACACAUGCAAGUCGAACGGCAGCACGGACUUCGGUCUGGCGGCGAGUGGCGAACGGGUGAGUAAUACAUCGGAACGUGCCCAAUCGUGGGGGAUAACGUAGCGAAAGCUACGCUAAUACCGCAUACGAUCUAAGGAUGAAAGCGGGGGAUCGCAAGACCUCGCGCGAUUGGAGCGGCCGAUGGCAGAUUAGGUAGUUGGUAGGGUAAAGGCCUACCAAGCCGACGAUCUGUAGCUGGUCUGAGAGGAUGAUCAGCCACACUGGGACUGAGACACGGCCCAGACUCCUACGGGAGGCAGCAGUGGGGAAUUUUGGACAAUGGACGCAAGUCUGAUCCAGCCAUUCCGCGUGCAGGAUGAAGGCCCUCGGGUUGUAAACUGCUUUUGUACAGAACGAAAAGGCUCUGGUUAAUACCUAGGGCCCAUGACGGUACUGUAAGAAUAAGCACCGGCUAACUACGUGCCAGCCGCCGCAGUAA
This 500-nucleotide ribosomal RNA is filed under the name uncultured bacterium. RNAcentral's name for it is "partial 16S ribosomal RNA". It matches the Rfam family "Bacterial small subunit ribosomal RNA", at positions 30 to 523 of the family's 1533-position model. The record is from RNAcentral.